Molecule: long non-coding RNA, 2189 nt
Filed under: Anas platyrhynchos platyrhynchos (common mallard)
Lineage: Eukaryota; Metazoa; Chordata; Aves; Anseriformes; Anatidae
Description: lncRNA (ENSAPLG00000018795.1)
Source: RNAcentral
AUGGCCCUGGCCCCGCACAGGAACGGCUGCAGCCUGGGGUGUGCGCUGGAGGUCUGGGGCUGGGAGGGCUGCAGCAGGGCCCCAGCAGCACUGUCCCAAGCAACCGUGUCCACCAAGAGCCGUGGGGCAGUGGAGGAGACACGCAACCAUCCCCGUCCUGCUUCGUGGUGGAUCCAGACCUUUCUGACGGGCAUUUCACAUCGGCUGUUUCCAAAAAAGGCCAAACCGGGCCCGCUGACCUCACUCCAGCCACCCCCGGGCUUUGUGAUGCGCUUUCUUUCCUCCCACCCCAGGAGGUUUUCCCAUCAAAGCCAUUCCUCGUCCAGUGAGCACUCCAAACAGCAACCCCGCGGGGUGCCACAGCCACCAGCGUCCGGCUGCCGUUGGGUUACGGCGUACACUGCGAUGGAGGGGCCCAGACAACCCUGCUGCAAGAGGAGACUAAAAAACCUACAGUGAUUCAGCAGCCUGGGUACACCCGGGGGAAUUGGCACCCAUGGGAGAGAAGCUGAGCACAAAGCAAGCACAAAGCAAGCACAAAGCAUCUCCGGACGGGUGAUGCCAACGCCCUCGCCUCCUCUGCAGCCCAACCCAGCAAAGCCAGCUCAGUGCCAGGGCUGACAGCACCGGGGUGGACAUGUGCUCAGAAAAAAGGCACAGACGAAGCACAUUUCAUCUAUGGCUGCACAAGAAAAACCUCUGCUAUAAAGCAUCCUAAGUGUGAGUGAAGAACCAUAAUGUGGUGAAGUUUAUGGGUUAGUGUGCCUUUCACAGAAAAGGGCUGGCUGGGGAUUUCAAAGCACAAACGCCUCGCAAGCGGCAAAGUGAUGCAACAGGGCCCUUUUGGAGUGAUGUACAAGGCUGUUUAUAAGAAGAAAACCCUCCAAAUAACUGUAGCCAACAGGAAAUUACAUGGUUGCUAUAUAUCUUUGCUAAAAUGUAAAAGUUAAACUAGUACCAGAGUCUUAACAUAGGGGAAUUUUCCUGACACAGUCAGGAAAACCACCUCAUGUCCAUUGAGCUGUAUGCCCGACUGGCACCCAUGGCACAGCCUGCAGGGCACAUCCUGCAUCUGCUGCAAGUCCGGACUCCUUAACCAAGUAAUCCUUCGGGCUUUCACCACACUCAUGGAAAGCCCCGCUUCCGCCCAGCUCCGAGUCACCAAAUACAGACUGGUGCUGCGCUGAGUCACAUUGACAUGACCAGCUCGCAGAGCUCCCAUGCCAAAACCACACAGGGCAGAGGGAUGCAAUAAUGCUGCUUUGACAUUGCCACACAUACGAGGGACUACAUGCAGAAUAUAUGAACUUGAACCGACUCGUAUCAUUCAAAGGAAAAAAAAAAGUCAUAUUAUGCUUGGACAUAUUCUCCAACUGAGUUUCUAUGCACAAUUCACCUGCCAGUCUGAAUGGUUAAAAAAAGGUUCAAAUCUAGAUGCAGUUUUCUCUCUCCCUCUGAACUGUGAAGUACAAGAAAGACUCAAUUUGUCAUUUCACAAAUGUGCUAGUGAGCAAUCAGCCCCUCUGCCAGAAUUUUUGGGAGGCUCCGAUUUACAUCAACCCACCCUCGCCUGAGUGUCAUUUUUGAGCCCAUUUGCAGAAUGACUGCUGAGGGCUGCAAGAGUUCAAGUACAAACCCAGCAUUCAAAGACAUGUCAAAAUCUUGACCCGAGUGAAGUCCAUGGAAAAAGGCCAAGCGAGUUGAAGGAUUUUUGUACAGAGGUAAAAACCUUGAAUAUAUUCUGCUGAAAACACUGCCAAACAUACACUGUUUUUAUCCCAGAUCUAACAAUAAGCCUCUUCCCCAAAUAUUGUGCAUUCUAGCUGCAAUAAGAAGUAUGCAAAAACGCAUUAUGACAUUGGAGAGAUUUAUCAGAGCCAAGAACCAGGUUUUCCCUAGCUAACUGGCCAAGACAUAAAAUAGCUUUUUAAAGCAAAAGCAAAUACAGCCUUAUCUACCUUGUGAAACUAAUUAUCUGCAGAUCAGAGGAAGAAAAAAAGACCUGCGUUACCCCCAGCCAACUCCCCCCAACAACCGCAGGCACUCCUUAGAGACAAAAAUAUCAAGACAACUUUCUUCUUGCUGUAGAAUUUCAGUGUCUUUCAUGCACACUUUUAAAAAAAUAUAAGGAAAAUACAAAACGUUGGAUAAAGUAACCUGAUGAAAUAAAGGUCUCGCAUCUGCUUGCA